UGGGGAAUAUUGGACAAUGGGCGAAAGCCUGAUCCAGCAAUGCCGCGUGAGUGAAGAAGGCCUUCGGGUUGUAAAGCUCUUUUACCCGGGAAGAUAAUGACUGUACCGGGAGAAUAAGCUCCGGCUAACUCCGUGCCAGCAGCCGCGGUAAUACGGAGGGAGCUAGCGUUGUUCGGAAUUACUGGGCGUAAAGCGUACGUAGGCGGCUUUGUAAGUCAGAGGUGAAAGCCCACGACUCAAUCGUGGAACUGCCUUUGAGACUGCUUCGCUUGAAGAUGGGAGAGGUUAGUGGAAUUCCGAGUGUAGAGGUGAAAUUCGUAGAUAUUCGGAAGAACACCAGUGGCGAAGGCGGCUAACUGGACCAUUCUUGACGCUGAGGUACGAAAGCGUGGGGAGCAAACAGG
Molecule: ribosomal RNA, 404 nt
Filed under: uncultured Zymomonas sp.
Lineage: Bacteria; Pseudomonadati; Pseudomonadota; Alphaproteobacteria; Sphingomonadales; Zymomonadaceae
Description: bacterial SSU rRNA
Rfam family: Bacterial small subunit ribosomal RNA
Source: RNAcentral